AAAAGAAAAAUCAUAACCCACCUGAACCUGAACGGCUUCCGAGUUUCAUCCCCCAAAUCGAUCGCAGUCCGCCGCCGUCGCCUACCCCUAAACCCUACCCUCCUCCCCCAAUCUCACCGAUUGCCUGCCCAUCUUCUCCGGCGGGUGCCUGCGUGUCCGCCCAGCAAUGGAGGCGAAGAGGGAGAGGGAGAAAUCAACCCUCGCGGCGGCGUCCGCCGCGGCGAUCUCGGUGGUUAUCGGCGAUUGCGACCUCCUCGGCGAGAUCUUCCUCCGCCUCGGGCUCCCCACCGACCUCGUUCGCGCCGCCGCCGUCUGCAGGCGCUGGCUCCGGGCCGCCUCCGACCCUGCCUUCCUCCGCCGCUUCCGCGACGUCCACCCGCCCCGCCUCCUCGGGUUCUACCUCACCACCUUCUCGACCGACCAGAGGUUUCGCGCAGACUUCGUCCCGAUGCUGCCUCAGCGCCCGGAGCUCGCCGCCGUCGUCCGCCGCGGGGGGUUCGAAUUGGACUCCUACGUCAGCCGAUCCACGCGCAUCAUGGACUCCCGUGACUGCAGGGUUGUCGUCAACUUGUUCCGCGACGGCGACUUCACAUACGGAGUGCACAGUCCGCUCCAUCGAGCAAGAGGUUUCGUUACCUUCCCGCGGCUCCCGGCGAUGGAUGACAAGAAAAUCUACAUUUUCCGUGAGAUCCUCUCCAGAGAAUGUGACCAUGGGCGGCUGUCCUACUUCUGGUUUGAAUUGGAUUACAGCGGCAAGGAGAAAGUGACAGCUCGUGUAUAUAAGUUGCAAGAUGAUGCCUGGAGCAUGCAAACUUCGGCUACAACACAGAUUUCUAGAUUUCAUUCAUCGACGUUAAAUGCAUUGAGUACUUUCCUAGUUGAUGACAAGAUCUAUAUGGGGAUCACCGUGCACAACAUUCUUGUGUUGGAUUUGACAUCCUCAACCUUCUCCACAAUCAAGUACCCGGAGACGAUGGCCAUGAAGGGGUUCAAUGGAGAAAUUAUGUUGGCAAGGGCUGAUGGUUCUGGGGUUUGUCUUGUCCAUGUGGACGUGAACGAGAUCCAACUUCACGUUUGGCUUCACAGCGGUUGUGAUGGCAGUGCGGGGGACUGGUUGCUGGUCAAUACUAUUUCUUUGCGUGAUUUGUGCGCUAAUCUGAAGAUAUCAAAUAGCACCACUGAGGAUGAUGAUGAUCCUGAUGUUUUCAUACAUGCGGUUGGGGACAGUGGAGAGUUUGUGUUCUUGCAGAUGUAUGGAUGUGUGCUUUACUUGGAUGUUAGGAGUAGUGCAAUGCAAAAGGUGUAUGGCGUGACAGAUAGGAAUGCACGCAUAUCUUCAACCCAUCCCUUUUUGAUGCCCUGGCCUCCUGUCUUUCCUGUGCUGAAGGAAUGAUCCUGCUGAGUUCUAGGUAAAUGGCACUUCAACAUUCAAAUGGAGAAUUGAUACCUUGAUGCCAAGAAGUAUUCUUCAUCAGCGAGAGAAACAAAGGAUGAGGUCCUGAUCUGUGGCUUUGAGUAGUGUCGAUUGAUAAUUGAUGGCAGUGUCAUUUGGCUGUUAUGUGACAUUAGUACUACAGGCUGUUUGAAACUUUGGAUGUUGAUGGGCAUGAUGGUCAGAACAAAGAAGAACUUUGGCCACUUCUUCGUCUGCCCUAGUCGCCAGGUGAGUCAUUGUUCUGUUUUGCUCUGAUUGCCUCUCUUUAUGUUCGGUUUUGCUUUGAUUGAGCUGCAAUGUCGUGCAGAGGGAUGGAAGUGGAUGUCAGCUUUGGCGCUGGGAUAAUGAGUACGAGAACUAUUUGAUGACCAAGGGACAUGUGCCUGCUACCUACCAGCCAAUUUUUGCCAGCAAUCUCGCACUGGUGCAGGAUGAAAGAAAUGAAGUGGCAUGAAGCGCCAAGCCAAUGCAAGCUGACCUGGAUCAGAUUCUUCAGAAGAUGACCAUUAUGGAAGAAUUAGGAAGGGACAUUGUCACUGUCCAUGCUCAACUUUUGUCACUGUCCACAAAGUCUGAAUCCUCACUAUCAUCAUCACUGCCACUGUCAUUUUCUGCAGGUUGACUCUUCUAUUCUUCAUCAAUCCUGCUUCUCAGGUUUUGGUAGAAUUCUGGGAGUGUCUCAGCUUCCUUCUUUCCAAUAUGUUGUACCUUAACAAGGCUAAAAACCUUGGGAAGUUCUGCUGAGGGGGUUCACAACCACAUCAUCCUAAUUUGCACCACCCAGUGUGUCCUGAUGAUCAAUGUACAUUACUAGAGUUUUUACCCUCCCCA
This is an RNA transcript of Panicum hallii, 2266 nucleotides long. RefSeq lists it as uncharacterized. The transcript has 3 exons. Lineage: Eukaryota; Viridiplantae; Streptophyta; Magnoliopsida; Poales; Poaceae. The record is from RefSeq and is a predicted model, not a curated record.